RNAcentral lists this ribosomal RNA (430 nucleotides) under uncultured bacterium. Its description in RNAcentral is "partial 16S ribosomal RNA". It matches the Rfam family "Bacterial small subunit ribosomal RNA", at positions 338 to 795 of the family's 1533-position model. The record is from RNAcentral.
CCUACGGGUGGCAGCAGUGGGGAAUCUUGCGCAAUGGGCGAAAGCCUGACGCAGCAACGCCGCGUGGAGGACGAAUGUUUCUGAGUUGUAAACUCCUUUCAGCAGGGACGCGGUACCUGCAGAAGAAGCACCGGCCAACUACGUGCCAGCAGCCGCGGUGAUACGUAGGGUGCAAGCGUUGUCCGGAUUUAUUGGGCGUAAAGAGCUCGUAGGUGGUUUGAUAAGUCGGAUGUGAAACCCCCAGGCUUAACCUGGGGCCGCCAUUCGAUACUGUCAGACUAGAGUUUGGUAGGGGACCAUGGAAUUCCUGGUGUAGCGGUGAAAUGCGCAGAUAUCAGGAGGAACACCAGCAGCGAAGGCGGUGGUCUGGGCAAACUGACGCUGAGGAGCGAAAGCGUGGGGAGCAACAGGAUUAGAUACCCUUGUAGUC